GUGAAGGGGAACGAAGAGGAGGGUGGGGUAGCAGUGAAGGGGAACGAAGAGGAGGGUGGGGUAGCAGUGAAGGGGAGCGAGGAGGAGGCUGGGGUAGCAGUGAAGGGGAGCGAGGAGGAGGCUGGGGUAGCAGUGAAGGGGAGCGAGGAGGAGGCUGGGGUAGCAGUGAAGGGGAGCGAGGAGGAGGAGGCUGGGGUAGCAGUGAAGGGGAACGAGGAGGAGGAGGCUGGGGUAGCAGUGAAGGGGAACGAUGAGGAGGCGGCUGGGGUAGCAGUGAAGGGGAACGAUGAGGAGGAGGCUGGGGUAGCAGUGAAGGGGAACGAAGAGGAGGAGGCUGGGGUAGCAGUGAAGGGGAACGAAGAGGAGGAGGCUGGGGUAGCAGUGAAGGAGACCGAUACUGUCACAGAGAUCAGUCCUGGUCAGGAUGAAGAGCGUCUGCGACGUCUGGCGGCCAGGAGAGAGAGUGUCCUGAAGUCUCUACAAGGACUUCUCACUAGAGGGAAGGGCCUGAGAAGACACAGCCUUAAACCUACACGGACACAGAAAAAUGGAGCUGAAGAGAAGAAGAGUAGAAAGACAGGCGGGCAGAAAAAGGACAGAAAAACAGCGAGUAAGACAGCAGGCGGCAAGGCAGCAGGCGGCAAGGCAACGGACAGGAAGACAACAGAUGAGAAGGUGGAAAGUACGAAAACGGAAGUAAAAAAAUUGGAAGGCAAAAAAACUGAAUGUAAGAAACCAGAACAAAAGAUAGAGAAGAAAGUGGAGAGCAAGAAAUCAGCGGAGGCUAAGAAGUCCGACUCGACCCGGGCGGAGGCUAAGAAGUCCGACUCGACCCGGGCGGAGGCUAAGAAGUCCGACUCGACCCGGGCGGAGGCUAAGAAGUCCGACUCGACCCGGGCGGAGGCUAAG
Oncorhynchus tshawytscha (Chinook salmon) is the source of this 909-nucleotide long non-coding RNA. The record is from Ensembl. Lineage: Eukaryota; Metazoa; Chordata; Actinopteri; Salmoniformes; Salmonidae.